Molecule: small RNA, 32 nt
Filed under: Bombyx mori (domestic silkworm)
Lineage: Eukaryota; Metazoa; Arthropoda; Insecta; Lepidoptera; Bombycidae
Description: ovarian small RNA-4980
Source: RNAcentral
CUGUCACAUACAGCACAGUGUGGCGCCAGAGA